CCUACGGGUGGCUGCAGUAGGGAAUAUUAGAAAUGGACGAAAGUCUGAUCUAGCAACACCGCGUGUGCGAAGAAGGCCUUCGGGUUGUAAAGCACUUUUUGGAAGGAUUAGGAAGGAAUGUACUUCCAGAAUAAGUCUCGGCUAACUACGUGCCAGCAGCCGCGGUAACACGUAGGAGGCAAACGUUAUCCGGAUUUACUGGGCGUAAAGCGCGUGUAGGUGGUUCUGUAAGUAGGGCGUGAAAGCUCCUGGCUCAACUGGGAGAGGCCGUUCUAAACUGCAGAGCUAGAGGAUGGUAGAGGGAGGUGGAAUUCCGGGUGUAGCGGUGGAAUGCGCAGAUAUCCGGAGGAACACCAGUGGCGAAAGCGGCCUCCUGGACCAUUCCUGACACUCAGACGCGAAAGCUAGGGUAGCAAACGGGAUUAGAUACCCCGGUAGUCCCC
This 443-nucleotide ribosomal RNA is filed under the name uncultured bacterium. RNAcentral describes it as "bacterial SSU rRNA". It matches the Rfam family "Bacterial small subunit ribosomal RNA", at positions 338 to 798 of the family's 1533-position model. The record is from RNAcentral.